AAACGCUGGCUGUGUUAGUAAUAUCGGUUAAAAGCUCUUUCUUUAAUAGAAUUUGUGUUAAUAUCUCUCAGUUGAUGUUUUUUUUUUUUUUCGUGUUAAUUCUUCUAACGUUAAUUCGAGCCGUUGUAAUGAAGUAAGAAACAGCAGACCAGUCUACCUUUUUCUAAAUGGCUUUUAAAAGUUAUGACAAGUCUUGAAGAAAACAAAUAAGAUGGCUAACUUUGAAGACUAGUGAUAAAGAAAAGGCAGCAUUUUGGUGGACUACAUAGACCUUCUGUUUAACAAACUGAUUUCUCAUACUCUACCUGAUCUUGCCAAAGAUCUUAAAGAAAUGCCUGAGAAGAUACUGGACUGCUUCGUUGUCUAUUCAUCAGGUUGUGGAUUUUGAGGGCUUCAUCUGUGCACUCAAUGAGCAGGGUUACCUUCUGAAGAAAGCCCACAGGAAGUAUCAGCUUCAAACCACACGAAUCAGCCAUCUCUUGUGAUGUUUCACACUCGAACUGUUUCAUCCUGUUUCGUUUGUUUUUCAAUGCAACAGAUAUUAUACUUAUACCAUACAGUGUGAUGUAUGUUUACACAAAUGCUUCAAUGUUAUCUGUACGUUGUUUUCAUGUACAUAAAUAGACUCAUGAUUGUUUUAAAUAGUAUUUUCCUUUCAUAUAAUCAAACAGUAACCUCAUUUUUGAACAAUGUUUAAGUAGUUUUGUAUCUUAUGAUGUUAGCUGUGUCCUUUCAGUAGAUUCUUCUAAAUGUAAUAUUGAACUUUUAAGUCUGUUUAUGCUACUGUCUGUGAAAUAACCUCACUUAUACAUGUGCAGCUGAUAAAUUUAAUUGCAAUAAAUAAAUAAAAAACAUUAAAAUGCA
Carassius gibelio (silver crucian carp) is the source of this 864-nucleotide long non-coding RNA. RefSeq lists it as uncharacterized. The record is from RefSeq and is a predicted model, not a curated record. The transcript has 4 exons. Lineage: Eukaryota; Metazoa; Chordata; Actinopteri; Cypriniformes; Cyprinidae.